Molecule: ribosomal RNA, 481 nt
Filed under: uncultured bacterium
Lineage: Bacteria
Description: bacterial SSU rRNA
Rfam family: Bacterial small subunit ribosomal RNA
Source: RNAcentral
UUGAACGCUGGCGGCAUGCUUUACACAUGCAAGUCGAACGGUAACAGGUCUUCGGAUGCUGACGAGUGGCGAACGGGUGAGUAAUGCAUCGGAACGUGCCCAGUCGUGGGGGAUAACGUAGCGAAAGCUACGCUAAUACCGCAUACGAUCUAUGGAUGAAAGCGGGGGAUCGCAAGACCUCGCGCGAUUGGAGCGGCCGAUAUCAGAUUAGGUAGUUGGUGAGGUAAAGGCUCACCAAGCCGACGAUCUGUAGCUGGUCUGAGAGGACGACCAGCCACACUGGGACUGAGACACGGUCCAGACUCCUACGGGAGGCAGCAGUGGGGAAUUUUGGACAAUGGACGCAAGUCUGAUCCAGCCAUUCCGCGUGCAGGACGAAGGCCUUCGGGUUGUAAACUGCUUUUGUACAGAACGAAAAGGUCUCUAUUAAUACUAGGGGCUCAUGACGGUACUGUAAGAAUAAGCACCGGCUAACUACGUG